Molecule: ribosomal RNA, 253 nt
Filed under: uncultured bacterium
Lineage: Bacteria
Description: partial 16S ribosomal RNA
Rfam family: Bacterial small subunit ribosomal RNA
Source: RNAcentral
UACAGAGGGUGCGAACGUUGCUCGGAAUUAUUGGGCGUAAAGCGCGUGUAGGCGGCUUGUUAAGUUAGUCGUGAAAGCCCACGGCUCAACCGUGGAAGUGCAACUAAUACUGGCAAGCUUGAGUGCUGAAGAGGAUGGCGGAAUCCCCAGUGUAGAGGUGAAAUUCGUAGAUAUUGGGAGGAACAUCGGUGGCGAAGGCGGCCAUCUGGGAAGUAACUGACGCUGAGACGCGAAAGCGUGGGUAGCAAACAGG